GUCCACGCCGUAAACGAUGAGUACUAAGUGUAGGGGAAACUCUGUGCUGUAGUUAACGCAAUAAGUACUCCGCCUGAGUAGUACGUGCGCAAGCAUGAAACUCAAAGGAAUUGACGGGACCCCGCACAAGCGGUGGAUCAUGUUGUUUAAUUCGAUGAUACGCGAAGAACCUUACCAGGUCUUGACAUCCCCCGCGAGGCUCUAGAGAUAGAGCGGAGGUAUUCGGGGAGACAGGUGGUGCAUGGUUGUCGU
RNAcentral lists this ribosomal RNA (252 nucleotides) under uncultured bacterium. Its description in RNAcentral is "partial 16S ribosomal RNA". It matches the Rfam family "Bacterial small subunit ribosomal RNA", at positions 793 to 1055 of the family's 1533-position model. The record is from RNAcentral.